Coregonus clupeaformis (lake whitefish) is the source of this 640-nucleotide long non-coding RNA. RefSeq lists it as uncharacterized. Lineage: Eukaryota; Metazoa; Chordata; Actinopteri; Salmoniformes; Salmonidae. The record is from RefSeq and is a predicted model, not a curated record. The transcript is spliced from 3 exons.
AGCGUGACAUAUGACACUUGACUGCGCAAAACUUUUUUUGUACCUGUUGCGGUUCGGUAGACAGGCGUUUCUAGCGGCUACUCUAAAACAUAAACAAAGUAAAACAUGGAGGAAAUUGGUGAAACAACGUUGCUAAAAGUACAGGAGAUAACGUACAGGAUCAGUCUAGGAAUGCUACAGGAGAUGUUUCGUCUCAGUCGUCGGGUCGUGGGAAUUAUUCUCACCUGUCGGACAGACCCGAACCCCGGAGGAACAGAGUAGUGUUGUUCAACAAAGUCACGAGAAGAGCCUAGAGAAGUUUAUAUCCCGAUGCCAGAAGAUUUAGGAGGAGAACGCUGUGCUGGCUCAGAGGGUGCAGGCGGGCAGGGAAGGAAUCGCUCAGACCGAACAGCGCAUUGCAACAGCCGUGGACGAGUGGAAGGCAUCUGUUAGGGAGUUCCAGACACUCUCUUCCUCCAUCUGCCCACCUGCGUCCUUUGAUGACCCCUGACCCUGAGUACUGCCCUGUCCUAAAGCAGAUUGGCUUUGACCAAUUUGAACCAUAACCCUAACAUGUACAAUUUUUGUAAUUAGAAUACCAGUUCUGUUUUAUUCCUGAGUCUGUGCUUUGUGCUCUGUUUUUGUCAUUAAAUAAACUCCC